Molecule: long non-coding RNA, 1231 nt
Organism: Vespula vulgaris
Lineage: Eukaryota; Metazoa; Arthropoda; Insecta; Hymenoptera; Vespidae
Exons: 4
Source: RefSeq, a predicted model, not a curated record
AAACUCUUUCCAGUUCCACGAUUUUUGUUUGUAAAAAUGUUCAGGAAAGAAAAAAGAAAAAAGAUUAAUGAAUAGUUAAACUUUGAAAGGAAUAUAAAAGAAAAAAAAAUAUUAUUUUUUCUUGGUAUUAUGGCAUUAGUGAUGUCUCUAGUUAAAAGUUGAUAUCCCCGUAGACGUCUAGGACGUUUGUCUUCGAAGGACACUCUCAAACCGGACGUUACAGUGGCUUUCCUGUCCCAGUGGAUGCGUUCGGAGGACUUCGUUAUCCUUUCCUUACCUAGAAAGCCAUCGUACCGUAACACGAAAACGGACGAUGCUGCGAAAAGAGUGUGGAUACAAAGAAGAAAAAAGUAAAACAAAAAAAUGGAAAGAAAAAAAUAUAGAGGUAAAAAAAAAGAAAAAAGACACGGAAGGAAGGAAAGAAGGAAGGAAGGAAGGAAGGAAGGAAGGAAGAAAGGAGAAAGGAGAAAGGAGGAAGGAGGAAGGAGAAAGGAGGAAAGAAAGAAGAGGAGGAGGAAGGAGCGCGUCCUCGAAACCACAUAAUUUGCCCUGCCAACCAGGAAUUUCUCGCGAAACUUUCGACUCUGUUUCCUCCACUUCUGCUUUUCUCCACAAAAUAUUCUUCAAAAUGCGAUGGCAAAAGAGAAAAUCGACUUUAUAACAGGGAGCCAACACGAAGCACCUUUCAUUUCCUGUCUUUCCACACGGACGAAUUGUCUUACAGAUGGACGUCAUCAUUCCGAGCCUGGCUUUAGCUCGUGCGAUCUAAAACGAAAGAUGAUAGAUAGAUCUUUGGUAUAUACCGAAUCAAUGAAAUAUAAAAAUUUGAAAGACCUUCUAUAAAUUCGGACGUAAUCAUUCAGAACGGAACAGAAAGAGGAUACUUAUCUCAAAAAGGAGCAUCUGAAAUACUCGCGCAUUGAAGGAAAACUUGGAUGUGUACAGACGUCCACGUGCAGUAUACUCGGCUGCUUUUCUUGCUGCCUCUCGAACGUCUUCCUGAAGAUGGCUCCAGAAUAUUCUGCAUCCAGUUCUACAUUUACCACGUCCGAAUCACCAAUUACAGUACAAGUAAAUACAUCGCAGAGGAACAGGCCGAAUAUGGCUAUCCAAUAAAUCGUAAAACAACCAAAAGGAUAAUCACCGACCUGAAAGAACUUCCAACACAUCCAGGGAACUGUCGCCGAACAACACACCAUCUAACAAGAGAAAAAAUAUUUUAAAAACUUCU